This 345-nucleotide long non-coding RNA is filed under the name Numida meleagris (helmeted guineafowl). Its description in RNAcentral is "lncRNA (ENSNMEG00000005117.1)". The record is from RNAcentral. Lineage: Eukaryota; Metazoa; Chordata; Aves; Galliformes; Numididae.
GUCAUAUGUGAGCUUGUAUUUCUGUUGGUGUUCUAGUCCUGCUUGUCUGCACUUCUAGGUAUGGCUGUAGACACAGCUAGUGCCAGGCUGCUUAUAUCUGGUGUAUGGAAUGAGCUGAGCCAUGCUGUCUGUGUUCCUGUGAUUUCUAGACAAGGCAAAGCAGCUGGAGCUGGUGAUAAGGAUCUGGCUGUGAUUUGGGAUCUGCAGCUUGGAGAUGGAAUUACAACACUGAUGGUCCUAAGUGCAAGCCUAAACUGUAGCACACUCCUUAGGGCUGAUCUGAGGCGAUGUUUGAAGACUGACUUACAAACCUGUGCUGGGAACGCUGCCUGGGUGGCACUCUGA